GAUUUUACGGUGUUUCAAGUGCAUAAACAGAAACGCACUCUCUUAGUAAUUAGAGAGCGUUUCAUGACAAUUUCUAUCUAAAUUGGUAUCCAUGCAAUGCUUCGCGCCGUGUCCUAAUUGGGUGUCUCAAUGAUAGACAUGUUUAUUCAUAUCCAUACUUGACAAUACGGAGGAGGAAUAUUUCAUCCAUGAUAAUACUAUUAGCACUCAUUGACUUCUUGAUUAGGCAUGCGUGCAUGAAUAUGUGUUUCGAUGAAUGAGCACAUUGAUGGGGCAACAGAUCCGACGUUUCCAGUUUCGACUGCUGUGGUAAGCUGUUUGGUACCAUCAUACGGCCAUGACCACGCGUUUUUUGAGGUGAAUAUACUUUUGCUCAAAGCUAACGAGUAAUUGUGAACAUAAUUGUAAGUAACGACGUGUAGACUGGAUCUGGCAGCGUACGUGUGGUGUGUUGACACCUCGAAUAAUGUCGUAUACAUGUUUUCUACAUGACGUAGCCCCACUGAACAACACGUGACGAAACCACUGAUACACUAAUGACAUCGACAGUGAAAUGCAGAUUCGUGCCAACUUUCUACACACUGACUUACUAUUUAUCCAUGUCAACAGUCUCAGCUCAUUCCAAAUAUUGCCUAUCGAUUUUAGAUUGAAAAACAGAAGAAAUACACGACGGCUGUUACCGAGUUCAUGCAUUAACUAAUUCGUCGAUGACAUCAUAUCGCUUUUUGAUGCACUGGUUAUUUGACCUAUAACAUUUCUUUUUUUUAAAGAUCUUUCAAGUUUAAGCAUGAAGAGGAAGCUAUCUGCUUCCCUAACCGAUGAUAAAUAAUUCGCUUUAAAUCAAGAAUAGUCAGUCGAGCCUUGAUAUAAAAAAUGUAAUGUGGAUAAUCUUCUAUUCCUGAAUAUCCGAAACAUGACUUAUUUGGUAUUCAUGUGGUUGCCUGCAACAUCAAUCUGCUGUAAGUGAAUGUCAGACUUCAUAAUCAACGUCCACAAAAAAGGUAAAACACUGUUCGCAGACUGCUGAAACAUUAACGUUUGCUAAAUUAUCGGCCGACUAAAUACAUUGAUGCAUAUACGAGAUUUGAUGAACAUUAUAUAAAGUAGUAAAACUUUGGAUUAUAUUUUCAAUUCUAAACUGAAAUGUACAGGCAUGUUACAGAGGCUGUGUUUGUCAAUACAAUGGACGUUUAUAGAUUCAACAGUAGAAUAUAUAAUUCACUGUUGUAUUGUCUAUUGCUAGUCGUCAUGUACGUAGAUUAUACCAAAGCUAUACCGCAUCGACGGAAAUUAGACUUGAGUACAAGUAGAAAUAAUAUACGACUGGAUACGGACCGUACUUAUAUAAUUAAUUCCAACUCAUCAGCCGUCGACAGACUUUACGAUCGUAAUUCUACUGAUAGGCCUACGUAUUCGAUAACUAAUAUCAACGAUUAUGAUUCGGACUAUGACGCGGCAUCAAGCUCCAUGUAUGUUAUAAUCAUUUUAACAGUACUGGUUAUAUCUGCUCUUGUAAUGCUUGGAGGAUAUCUAUGCCACAAAGGAGAAGCCUACCGACAAUCGUAGCCAAUUAAAUAACCGAAUUGACAGAUUUAAGGAAAAGAGAUCAAAUGUGCUGAACAUGUUGGGCAGCAUUACGUGAUAUUUUUCGAUCCCUAAGUAUUUUUUAUCUCAAUGCUGUUACAGCCAGGCCUGUUGAAACGCAUGCUAAUAUGAGUAUUGUCCGUUUGCAAACAGUUCUAAUUGGAACUCGAUGGCUUGGCACGGUAAUUAUAUUGAACACGUUUUCAAUAAGGAUAUUUGGUCUACUGUCAGAACGGUAAAUAAGGUCUCUUUGAUGAAUUGUGAUUCCGCUUGGAAAAUUGGAAGGUUUUUACCAGAUUUAAAAAUGUUUAUAUGCAGUUGUGAAAAUUUUCAAGUCAAAGCCAUUCAGUGUUAAGUCAUCAUAUUGGUUUCAGAUUAAAGACUAUAGGCCUAUGGACCAAAAACCAAAACUACAAAAACAAAUGUUUAAUUAAAAAAACAGAAAAAAACAAAAAAAAAAAAAA
Molecule: long non-coding RNA, 2048 nt
Filed under: Anneissia japonica
Lineage: Eukaryota; Metazoa; Echinodermata; Crinoidea; Comatulida; Comatulidae
Description: uncharacterized LOC117108380
Source: RNAcentral